RNAcentral lists this ribosomal RNA (498 nucleotides) under uncultured Glomeromycotina. Its description in RNAcentral is "partial small subunit ribosomal RNA". It matches the Rfam family "Eukaryotic small subunit ribosomal RNA", at positions 591 to 1092 of the family's 1831-position model. The record is from RNAcentral. Lineage: Eukaryota; Fungi; Glomeromycota.
CCAAUAGCGUAUAUUAAAGUUGUUGCAGUUAAAAAGCUCGUAGUUGAAUUUUAGGCCUGGCCGGACGGUCCGUCUCUGGCGAGUACUGUUCUGUCGUCGGGUCUAUCCUUCUGGUGAGCCGGUAUGUUCUUAAUUGGGCGUGUCGGGGAGCCAGGACCAUUACCUUGAAAAAAUUAGAGUGUUUAAAGCAGGCUUUUGCUUGAAUAGAUUAGCAUGGAAUAAUAGAAUAGGACGUUGUGGUUCUAUUUUGUUGGUUCAAGGACCACCGUAAUGAUUAAUAGGGAUAGUUGGGGGCAUUAGUAUUCAAUUGUCAGAGGUGAAAUUCUUGGAUUUAUUGAAGACUAACUAUUGCGAAAGCAUUUGCCAAGGAUGUUUUCAUUAAUCAAGAACGAAAGUUAGGGGAUCGAAGACGAUCAGAUACCGUCGUAGUCUUAACCAUAAACUAUGCCGACUAGGAAUCGGGCGACGUUAUUUUCACGACUCGCUCGGCGCCUUAUG